RNAcentral lists this ribosomal RNA (506 nucleotides) under Tessaracoccus flavescens. RNAcentral describes it as "bacterial SSU rRNA". It matches the Rfam family "Bacterial small subunit ribosomal RNA", at positions 400 to 916 of the family's 1533-position model. Lineage: Bacteria; Bacillati; Actinomycetota; Actinomycetes; Propionibacteriales; Propionibacteriaceae. The record is from RNAcentral.
CGUGCGGGAUGACGGCCUUCGGGUUGUAAACCGCUUUCAUCCAUGACGAAGCGAGAGUGACGGUAGUGGGAGAAGAAGCACCGGCUAACUACGUGCCAGCAGCCGCGGUGAUACGUAGGGUGCGAGCGUUGUCCGGAUUUAUUGGGCGUAAAGAGCUUGUAGGCGGUUUGUUGCGUCGGGAGUGAAAACUCAGGGCUUAACCCUGAGCCUGCUUUCGAUACGGGCAGACUUGAGGAAGGUAGGGGAGAAAUGGAAUUCCUGGUGAAGCGGUGGAAUGCGUAGAUAUCAGGAGGAACACCAGUGGCGAAGGCGGUUCUCUGGACCUUUCCUGACGCUGAGAAGCGAAGCGUGGGGAGCAAACAGGCUUAGAUACCCUGGUAGUCCACGCCGUAAACGGUGGGUACUAGGUGUGGGGGACAUUCCACGUUCUCCGUGCCGCAGCUAACGCAUUAAGUACCCCGCCUGGGGAGUACGGCCGCAAGGCUAAAACCCAAAGGAAUUGACGG